CCUACGGGAGGCAGCAGUGGGGAAUAUUGCACAAUGGGGGAAACCCUGAUGCAGCGACGCCGCGUGAGUGAAGAAGUAUUUCGGUAUGUAAAGCUCUAUCAGCAGGGAAGAAAAUGACGGUACCUGACUAAGAAGCCCCGGCUAACUACGUGCCAGCAGCCGCGGUAAUACGUAGGGGGCAAGCGUUAGCCGGAUUUACUGGGUGUAAAGGGAGCGUAGACGGCAGCACAAGUCUGGAGGGAAAUGCCGGGGCUUAACCCCGGGACUGCUUUGGAAACUGGGCAGCUAGAGUGCAGGAGAGGUGAGUGGAAUUCCUAGUGUAGCGGUGAAAUGCGUAGAUAUUAGGAGGAACACCAGUGGCGAAAGCGGCUUACUGGACUGUAACUGACGUUGAGGCUCGAAAGCGUGGGGAGCAAACAGGAUUAGAUACCCCUGUAGUC
RNAcentral lists this ribosomal RNA (440 nucleotides) under uncultured bacterium. RNAcentral's name for it is "partial 16S ribosomal RNA". It matches the Rfam family "Bacterial small subunit ribosomal RNA", at positions 338 to 795 of the family's 1533-position model. The record is from RNAcentral.